GAAUGCUGACAUAAGUAACGAUAAAGCGGGUGAAAAGCCCGCUCGCCGGAAGACCAAGGGUUCCUGUCCAACGUUAAUCGGGGCAGGGUGAGUCGACCCCUAAGGCGAGGCCGAAAGGCGUAGUCGAUGGGAAACAGGUUAAUAUUCCUGUACUUGGUGUUACUGCGAAGGGGGGACGGAGAAGGCUAUGUUGGCCGGGCGACGGUUGUCCCGGUUUAAGCGUGUAGGCUGGUUUUCCAGGCAAAUCCGGAAAACCAAGGCUGAGGCGUGAUGACGAGGCACUACGGUGCUGAAGC
RNAcentral lists this ribosomal RNA (296 nucleotides) under Escherichia coli. RNAcentral describes it as "partial 23S ribosomal RNA". It matches the Rfam family "Bacterial large subunit ribosomal RNA", at positions 1292 to 1591 of the family's 2925-position model. Lineage: Bacteria; Pseudomonadati; Pseudomonadota; Gammaproteobacteria; Enterobacterales; Enterobacteriaceae. The record is from RNAcentral.